GGAUAGCUCAGUUGGUUAGAGCACAGUGCUGAUAAUGGCAAGGUUGCGGGUUUGAUCCCUGCAUGGGACA
Molecule: non-coding RNA, 70 nt
Organism: Podarcis lilfordi (Lilford's wall lizard)
Lineage: Eukaryota; Metazoa; Chordata; Lepidosauria; Squamata; Lacertidae
Source: the annotation of a GenBank genome assembly